Molecule: ribosomal RNA, 253 nt
Filed under: uncultured bacterium
Lineage: Bacteria
Description: partial 16S ribosomal RNA
Rfam family: Bacterial small subunit ribosomal RNA
Source: RNAcentral
GACGUAGGGGACGAGCGUUGUCCGGAUUCAUUGGGCGUAAAGAGCGCGUAGGCGGUUUGGUAAGUCGGACGUGAAAAUCCGGGGCUCAACCCCGGACGUGCAUCCGAAACUGCCCGACUAGAGGUAGGUAGGGGAGAUCGGAAUUCCUGGUGUAACGGUGAAAUGCGCAGAUAUCAGGAGGAACACCGGUGGCGAAGGCGGAUCUCUGGGCCUUACCUGACACUGAGGGACGAAAGCUAGGGGAGCGAAUGGG